GCCUUCGUGGUGUAAUGGUCAGCACACUGAGCCGGUAAUUCAGAGGCCCGUGGUUCGAUCCCCGGCGAAGGCA
RNAcentral lists this transfer RNA (73 nucleotides) under Stegodyphus mimosarum. It matches the Rfam family "tRNA". From Rfam's summary of the family: Transfer RNA (tRNA) molecules are approximately 80 nucleotides in length. Their secondary structure includes four short double-helical elements and three loops (D, anti-codon, and T loops). The record is from Rfam by way of RNAcentral. Lineage: Eukaryota; Metazoa; Arthropoda; Arachnida; Araneae; Eresidae.